GGAUUGAUAGCUCAGCAGGUAGAGCGGCACGCUGUUAACGUGAUGGUCGAAAGUUCGAAUCUUUCUCAUUCCGCAA
This 76-nucleotide transfer RNA is filed under the name Indolivaga capnocytophagoides. Its description in RNAcentral is "Dysgonomonas capnocytophagoides tRNA-Asn". It matches the Rfam family "tRNA". Rfam says of the family: Transfer RNA (tRNA) molecules are approximately 80 nucleotides in length. Their secondary structure includes four short double-helical elements and three loops (D, anti-codon, and T loops). The record is from RNAcentral. Lineage: Bacteria; Pseudomonadati; Bacteroidota; Bacteroidia; Bacteroidales; Dysgonomonadaceae.